Maniola jurtina (meadow brown) is the source of this 317-nucleotide long non-coding RNA. RefSeq lists it as uncharacterized. The record is from RefSeq and is a predicted model, not a curated record. Lineage: Eukaryota; Metazoa; Arthropoda; Insecta; Lepidoptera; Nymphalidae. The transcript has 3 exons.
CAAUGUUUCAGUACCUAAGGUUAUUUUUGAUACAAUGUGAAGAAUUUCACAUAAUUUUUGUUGUGAUAGUAGUCUUAAAAUGUAAGCAUUUUGUGCCUUUAAUUAAAUGUUAAAUACAUUCCUAUUUCAAUAAAUAUUUAACUCUUGUAAAUGAUUGGUUUUGUAUUAUAAUUAUGUAGUUAGUUACAUUUUAAAAAUUAAAUAUCACUUGCUUCAAAAUGAUGGCAGGAUGGUGGAGGACAAACUUGUCAGGGAAGCUUCAUGCAUCUUCUCUCUGUAAUGUUUUCUAUUAAGGCGUGAAGUCUGCCGCGCCCUUA